This is a long non-coding RNA of Rosa rugosa (rugosa rose), 768 nucleotides long. RefSeq lists it as uncharacterized. The transcript has 3 exons. The record is from RefSeq and is a predicted model, not a curated record. Lineage: Eukaryota; Viridiplantae; Streptophyta; Magnoliopsida; Rosales; Rosaceae.
ACAAGGUGGUGUUUGUUACACGGGAUUGGACUGGAUUGGACAUUCUUAUCUAGUCCAAUCCCAGUUAUCCCAUGUUUGGCAGCAAGGGGACUCUUUUUAAUGAGACUCCACAGUCCCAAAAACCACCCCGACACCGUCUACCACAAACCCACCAAAAACCAUGGGAUUGUGGAAGCCACUCUCACUCGAUCUACUCUUCCCUUCUGAUGAGGUCACCGUUCGGAGCUAUGCUGGUUUCGCAGCUUCUGCUGCUUUUGGGUACUGGCAUUGUUGCUGGGCAGAGCCAUUUUCAGUACGGCCAUCUCAGACCCAUAAUACCACUCACUCUGGUGCAGUGUUGGGUGUAAAGAGAAGAAAAAGAGAGCGCGAUUUUCAGGAAAGGAAAAAAAGAAAAGAGAGCAAUUAAAAGCAAAAGGUGGGUUCUUGAAAAGAAAAGAGAAGCAAAAGGUGGGUUCGAAAAGAAAAGAGAGCAAUUAAAAGCAAAAGGUUGGAAGGUGUGUGCUCAAGUGCUUUGUGUGUUUUCUUCUGGCAAUUAUUUUUGUUGUUUGCAUUGACAGAGAGAGAAGAGAGAGUGUAUAGAAUACAAUGCAAUGGGGUUUGUGUCUGGGUGUUGAAGGUUUUGCAGGUUGGUGGUUUUGCAGGUUGGUUCUAUAUUUAAUCCCGCUGGCACCAAACAUGGGUCAAGGAACUCUAUAGCAUAACCUGGCUUGAAGAGUGGAGGACUCUAAAAGAAAUUAAGCCGGGGUAACACAAUCCCCCCUAACAAAC